Molecule: ribosomal RNA, 1243 nt
Filed under: Chloroparvula japonica
Lineage: Eukaryota; Viridiplantae; Chlorophyta; Chloropicophyceae; Chloropicales; Chloropicaceae
Description: partial Bacterial large subunit ribosomal RNA
Rfam family: Bacterial large subunit ribosomal RNA
Source: RNAcentral
UGGAAAGAGCCGCCAUAGUGGGUGAUAGCCCCGUAUCCGAAACCUGAGUCCAGUGAAAUCGAGUAGGACGGGACACGAGACAUCCUGUCUGAACAUGGGGGGACCAUCCUCCAAGCCUAAGUACUCCUUAUCGACCGAUAGUGAACAAGUACCGUGAGGGAAAGGUGAAAAGAACCCCUGUUAGGGGAGUGAAAUAGUACCUGAAACUGGAUGCCUACAAACAGUGGGAGGCCGCAAGGCUGACCGCGUACCUUUUGUAUAAUGGGUCAGCGACUUAUUUUCAGUGGCGAGCUUAACCGAAUAGGGGAGGCGUAGCGAAAGCGAGUCUUAAUAGGGCGAAUAGUUUGUUGCAUUAGACCCGAAACCAAGUGAUCUAGCCAUGAGCAGGUUGAAGGUUGGGUAACACCAACUGGAGGACCGAACCCAUACACGUUGCAAUGUGUCGGGAUGACUUGUGGCUAGGGGUGAAAGGCCAAUCAAACUUGGAGAUAGCUCGUACUCCCCGAAAUAUAUUUAGGUAUAGCGUCUGGUUUUGUCUGUCCGGAGGUAGAGCACUGAUUCGGCUAGGGCCCUUCACCGGGUACCAAACCGAGACAAACUCCGAAUGCCGGCACAGAGCCACCAGGCAGUCAGUCGUUGGGUGAUAACGUCCUACGGCGAGAGGGGAACAACCCAGACCACCAGCUAAGGCCCCCAAAUCCGGGCUAAGUUGAUCAAAGAAAGUUGAGUUGCUCAGACAACUAGGAGGUUGGCUUAGAAGCAGCCAUCCUUUAAAGAAAGCGUAAUAGCUCACUAGUCGAGUCGGCCUGCGCGGAAGAUGUAACGGGGCUCAAACCAUACACCGAAGCUACGGGUAUCACGUAAGUGAUGCGGUAGAGGAGCGUUCUGUAAGCCUGUGAAGGGUGACCCGCGAGGGCACUUGGAGGUAUCAGAAGUGAGAAUGCUGACAUGAGUAGCGAUAAAGAGUGUGAGAAACACUCUCGCCGAAAUCCCAAGGGUUCCUGCGCAAGGCUAAUCCGCGCAGGGUGAGCCGGCCCCUAAGCCGAGGGCGAAAGCCGUAGGCGAUGGGAACCAGGUGAAUAUUCCUGGGCCAGACGGUGGUGACGAAUAGUGGAAGCUGUACGGGCUUAACGGAUUGUCCGUGCAGUAAAGCUGUUCCAGGAAAUAACCCCGUCGUGAGACCGUACCCGAAACCGACACAGGUGGGAUGGUAGAGCAUACCAAGGCGCUUGAGAGAACUAUG